Molecule: RNA transcript, 2226 nt
Organism: Suricata suricatta (meerkat)
Lineage: Eukaryota; Metazoa; Chordata; Mammalia; Carnivora; Herpestidae
Gene: GIN1
Gene name: gypsy retrotransposon integrase 1
Exons: 12
Source: RefSeq, a predicted model, not a curated record
CUUCCGGCAGCACCAGAUAAGUCGCGAGAGGAGCUUUCAAUCCUGUCGUUUGCGUUUAGGACCACUUUCGGUUCAUGAUGGUCCGCAGUGGAAAAAAUGGUGACCUUCAUCUUAAGCAGAUUGCAUAUUAUAAACGAACUGGUGAAUAUCAUCCAACUACACUACCGAGUGAGAGAAGUGGCAUAAGAAGAGCAGCAAAAAAAUUUAUCUUCAGAGAAAAAAAGCUGUUUUAUGUUGGAAAAGACAGAAAACAAAAUCGUUUGGUAAUUGUUUCAGAAGAAGAGAAAAAGAAAGUCCUGAGAGAGUGCCAUGAAAAUGACACCGGAGCCCAUCAUGGCAUAUCCAGGACCCUCACUCUAGUGGAAUCCAGUUAUUAUUGGACUUCUGUGACCAAUGAUGUCAAACAGUGGGUAUAUGCUUGUCAGCAUUGCCAAGUGGCAAAAAACACAGUUAUUCUCGCACCUAAACAGCACUUUCUCAAGGUGGAGAAUCCAUGGAGUAUAGUUACUGUUGAUCUGAUGGGCCCAUUUCAUGCAAGCAACAGAAGUCAUGUGUAUGCUAUAAUCAUGACAGAUUUAUUCACAAAAUGGGUUGUGAUUUUGCCUCUCUGUGAUGUCUUACCGUCAGAAAUUUCUAAAGCUAUUAUCAAUAUAUUUUUCUUAUAUGGACCGCCACAGAAAAUAAUGAUGGACCAAAGAGAGGAGUUCAUUCAUGAGAUUAAUGUUGAACUAUCUGGAUUGUUUGGCACAAAGAAAAUUGUAAUUUCUCACCCCUCCCAAACUGUUACUCAAACUGAAAGUACACUUAGCACAAUCAAAGCAUUUCUUUCUAAACACUGUGCUGACCACCCAAACAACUGGGAUGAUCACCUAUCAGCCAUUUCAUUUGCCUUCAAUGUAACUCACUUGGAGCCUACUAAAAAUACACCGUAUUUUCAAAUGUUUCAUCGAAAUCCUUAUAUGCCUGAGACUUCAGAUAUUCUUCAUGAAGCGGAUGGUGAUGAUACAAGUAUGUUUGCCAAAAUUCUAGAUGCAGUUAAAGAAGCUGGUAAAUUGUCAAUAAUGGAGAGUAAGACAGCGUCAGGAAGACAGGUGGAGAACAACAAUUUUGAGGAACUAAAUAAAAACAAAAUCAUUGUUAAAAAGAAACCAAAGCAGUUAAAUCCAUUUCAUCUGAAAGUGGGUCAUGAAGUUUUAAGACAAAGGAAGAAUUGGUGGAAGGAUGGUCGUUUUCAGUCUGAAUGGGUUGGUCCUUGUGUCAUAGACUAUAUUACCGAGAGCGGAUGUGCUGUUCUGAGAGACAGCACUGGGACUAGACUUAAAAGACCAAUCAAAAUGUCCCACCUGAAGCCCUAUGUAAGAGAGUCCAGUGAACAAGACAGUCUUUAUCUCUUACAAGGUUCAGUAGUGGCAGAUCACGACUACAUCGGAUUGCCUGAAAUUCCAAUUGGAGCAUACCAAGCAAAUAUUCUGGUAGAAGAUGCAACUAUUGGCAUAGUCGAUAAUGAAUUACUGACAUCAAGCAAAGAUGGUGAACUAUUAGAAUAUAGAAGUGCCAAAAUCUCUCCAUUGAUGGAAGAUCAUGGUACUCUUGAAAAGCAGACUUUUAGUCUGUUGGACUCUUCAAACCAAGUCCUUGAGUACUUAAGGAGAAGUUUGAACACAGACUCAAGGGGAAUGCCGUGUGAAGAGGAAGGCAGGGAAUGGGCAGAUAUCUUCUACAGGGCAAAGAAUGCCAAAAAUUACCAGCAAAACUCCAGGAACUAAAGACAAGCUGAUGGAGCCUCACCUGUGGAUUACCAGCCACCAUGGCAGGGGGAGAACAUGGUGAACCCAGCACUAGCUAUGAAGAGACUUGCUGUCGUGUCAUGCACAACCUUCCUACUCCAAUUACAGCGGUCAAGCCUGGUCUUACACUGCUAACAGGUUCCCAGAAUUCUUGGACUCUUGAGCCCUGCACUGAUGAGUGGCAAAGCAGGGCGAGCUGGACUCAGCUCUUUGUCCCUGCGCCAUCCUCUCCCACGGAUACCCCACCCCAGCUCCUGCAGGUGUGCUGCUCCAACAGUCCAGACCUUUGGAAUGUGCUUUCUGGCUUCAUCCACUGUCCUGGGAUGGACUGGGAAGGCCUUGGAAGAGGUUCUCCAGGUAUAUCCCCAAAGUAUUUGAAAGCUGGGAUUGGAAAAGAUACUUCUACACCAAUGUUUAUUGCAGCAUUAUUCACAAUAGC